RNAcentral lists this ribosomal RNA (765 nucleotides) under uncultured bacterium. Its description in RNAcentral is "bacterial SSU rRNA". It matches the Rfam family "Bacterial small subunit ribosomal RNA", at positions 60 to 838 of the family's 1533-position model. The record is from RNAcentral.
AGUCGAACGAGCGAGAGAGAGCUUGCUUUCUCAAGCGAGUGGCGAACGGGUGAGUAACGCGUGAGGAACCUGCCUCAAAGAGGGGGACAGCAGUUGGAAACGACUGCUAAUACCGCAUAAGCCCACAGGUCGGCAUCGACCAGAGGGAAAAGGAGCAAUCCGCUUUGAGAUGGCCUCGCGUCCGAUUAGCUAGUUGGUGAGGUAACGGCCCACCAAGGCAACGAUCGGUAGCCGGACUGAGAGGUUGAACGGCCACAUUGGGACUGAGACACGGCCCAGACUCCUACGGGAGGCAGCAGUGGGGAAUAUUGCACAAUGGGGGAAACCCUGAUGCAGCGACGCCGCGUGGAGGAAGAAGGUCUUCGGAUUGUAAACUCCUGUUGUUGAGGAAGAUAAUGACGGUACUCAACAAGGAAGUGACGGCUAACUACGUGCCAGCAGCCGCGGUAAAACGUAGGUCACAAGCGUUGUCCGGAAUUACUGGGUGUAAAGGGAGCGCAGGCGGGAAGACAAGUUGGAAGUGAAAUCUAUGGGCUCAACCCAUAAACUGCUUUCAAAACUGUUUUUCUUGAGUAGUGCAGAGGUAGGCGGAAUUCCCGGUGUAGCGGUGGAAUGCGUAGAUAUCGGGAGGAACACCAGUGGCGAAGGCGGCCUACUGGGCACCAACUGACGCUGAGGCUCGAAAGUGUGGGUAGCAAACAGGAUUAGAUACCCUGGUAGUCCACACCGUAAACGAUGAUUACUAGGUGUUGGAGGAUUGACCCC